AAAAACACUGGGUUCAAUGCACACAAAAAUGUACAAAAAUGCAUUUUUGUACAUUUUUGUGUGCAUUGAACCCAGUGUUUUU
This is a non-coding RNA of Podarcis lilfordi (Lilford's wall lizard), 82 nucleotides long. NCBI's taxonomy places the organism in Eukaryota, Metazoa, Chordata, Lepidosauria, Squamata, Lacertidae. The record is from the annotation of a GenBank genome assembly.